UAUACCCCUUCACUCCUUAUCACAGACUCAUCUGCAAUCUUGACUUCCAUAGUUGCUCCUUGCAUCACUAAGACAACUUUGGUUAUAAUAGAGGGAUCGAUGAAGUUAUGAUUAUUGCUAGUAUCAAGAAGAAUGGUAACCCUAACUCCCUUGAUAAACCCUAUUAACCUCAUUGUUCCAGGAUUUAGGCUUCCCAAGAGAGCAUUUAAUGAUAUUUCAAGGUUUGGAAUCUGAUUUAGGGAGGCCAAGUAUUGAUGGUUUGGUUUGUUGCCCCACCCUGUAUCUCCUGGUUUGAAGGCACCUCUCCUACUACUAAUCCAGUACUCCUCUUGGAUCUUUGCUAAUCCAAAGGCUUGAUGCAGAGAAGACGGAUAAAGCAUUCUAAUAGUUUUACCCCAGCAACUAUCUCAGAUAAUUGGAAAUAUCUGGUGCUGGUACCUGCUGCCAUGGCUGGAUCGUUGCUCUGAUACCAAUUGCAGUAAACAUUCUUAACUACUUCAAGGGAGUCUUCCUCUAAGAACUAGAAAGAGAUAAGGAAGAAAAAUAGAGAGAUUCAAGAAGAAAAGCUGUAGUCUUAUUUUCUCAUGCCUCUAUUCUGUCACCUUACAAGUAUUUAUGCGUGAGGUUCUCUUUACCAUAGCAGCAGCUAACUAAUUACUUACAUCAAUACUAAUCGACAAUUACACCAGCACUAACAAACUAUUAGCUUUAGCUAUUUACUAGUAAAAUAACAGCACAUCACACAAGCUGACGUGUCAGCUUCAUUGCAAAGCUUACUAUUAGUACCGGGUCAGCCAUGGUAUAUUUUAAGUAUGAUCCAAUACCUAGGAUGUGAGAAUACGUGGAACACUACUUGACAUAAUCCAGAUGACAGUUGAGGAUUUCUAUAUUUCCAGUCUCAUUUCAUGCACACUUUUUUUUUUUUUUAAUGAGUUGGUUCAGUCAUUAUAUUGUGUUCACUUCCAGUUUCAAUUGUUGAUGUUUAGCGUCUAAAAUACCAAUUGCUAUGUGCUAAUAGGUUUUGUUUGUUAAAAAGAUCCACGGCAUGCUGCUUUUCAUGAUGAGGAAUGGACAGUCCCAGUCCAUAAUGACAAGAUACUGUUUGAAUUGCUCAGCCUAUCAGGUGCUUUGGCUGAACUUACAUGGCCUGCAAUUCUUAACAGAAGGCAUAUAUUUGGGUAUUGGUCAUACUCUUCAUGUGAUGAAAUCGAAAUAUCUAGUGUAGUGAGUUUAUGGGAGGUCUUUUCCGGACUUUGACCCAGAUGCCGUUUCAAAAUACAAUGAGAACAAUAUAGACACACCAGGAAGCCUAGCCAGCUCUCUACUAUCAGAAGCGAAGCUGCGAGCCAUCAUUGACAAUGCAAAUCAAAUGUGCAGGGUUCAGACCAUCAUUUAUUGUUCAUCUAACUUUACUACUCUAUACCAUAGAUUAAAUAUGAGGUGCUUUGGUUGUUUUAGGAAUUAUUGAUCAUUUGUUUGGUGAGGAAGCUAUUGCAUAAUGCUUAGUACUGUUGAAAAACCGUCUUUACCCACAAAUAAUCUUGAACUGCAUGGCUACCCCAGAGAAACAAAAUGAGGGAGAGGCAGCAAAAAAUCUCCAUUUUGUGUAUAAUUCAACAAGAAUCUUGUAUGUUUUUGAUAUUAUGCAGGUAAUUGACGGGUUUGGGUUUUUCAGCAAGUACAUAUGGAACUUUGUGAACCAUAAGCCUAUAGUUAGCCAAUUCCGGUACUCUCGCCAGGUUCCAGUCAAGACACCGAACUCCAAAAGACGAAAUGAUGAGUAAAAAGACCUUGUUAAGGGGGGUGUUCCGCAGUGUUGGGCCCACGGUCAUCCAUACAUUUAUGCAGGUGGCUGGACUAACAAAUCACCAUCUCAUUAGUUGCUUCAGAUUCGAGUGUUUUACCGUGGGCAAAUCAGAUGAAAAAGAUGGUACUCAUAAAUCCAAGAUGGAAGAAAAAUUACCAGUUGACACAACUCACUUGGGACUAGCAAGAACUAUCGAUGAAUUGAGUUUCACAUCGAAUUAGUAUCUUACGUAUUUGGUGUACUGUAAAUAAAUUCUGUUCUUGUUGGCUCCACCUCAAUGAUGUGGAGUGAUUCUGGGGAAGUUUUCUCUGUACAAAUAAAUGUAGAUAUGAAAAAAUAGAUUGAAGCA
Quercus lobata is the source of this 2156-nucleotide RNA transcript. RefSeq lists it as uncharacterized. The record is from RefSeq and is a predicted model, not a curated record. NCBI's taxonomy places the organism in Eukaryota, Viridiplantae, Streptophyta, Magnoliopsida, Fagales, Fagaceae. The transcript has 5 exons.